Ipomoea triloba (trilobed morning glory) is the source of this 571-nucleotide long non-coding RNA. RefSeq lists it as uncharacterized. Lineage: Eukaryota; Viridiplantae; Streptophyta; Magnoliopsida; Solanales; Convolvulaceae. The record is from RefSeq and is a predicted model, not a curated record. The transcript has 3 exons.
AAUCAACCACAGCUUACUGAGUCAACGUCAGCCUUCUAAUUGACCGCCGUCGCUUCCUCGCCGCCGCAUGGGUGGUCGUUGUGUCGGUCGUCCCCGACUGGCCGACUAUGCAGUCGCAACGAUUUCUGCUGCUUCAUUCGUGUUUCCAAGCUGCUAACUGUUAUGCUAAAGAAAGAGGACAUGGACCAAAGAAGAGCCAAUGCAAUGAGUACUGACUGCUAUGCUAGAGACAGCUCCUUUUAAUCUUGCUGAUAACCUUCAAUACAUAGAAGGCUUCUAGGCUUUGAAGUAGAAGGCUGAUCAAAGCUACCAUCAUCUACACUUGGUCAAAGUCAUUGAAGUAGAAGACUGUGGAUGCUGCAUUUAUCAAAGCCAUUGAAGCAGUGCUGGAUUUGAAGGCUUAUUUGGGUGUUACUAGCAUACUUAAAGUAAUAUAUAUUUUCAUGACUUUUUAUGUAUGUUAAUAGUCAAUUGUUGGAAGUACUAUGUUAGACAUACUAUAAUUUUUGUUGUAAAUAAUUUUGAUGUUUAAAUAUAUUUUAAAAGUUUUGGGUCUAAUUGACUUCUCAUA